Molecule: ribosomal RNA, 210 nt
Filed under: uncultured Stichotrichia
Lineage: Eukaryota; Ciliophora; Spirotrichea
Description: partial Bacterial large subunit ribosomal RNA
Rfam family: Bacterial large subunit ribosomal RNA
Source: RNAcentral
AGUCAAUGUUAAGUUGAACAAACGAAGUUUGGAUCCUAUGACAGCCAGGAUGUUGGCUUGGAAGCAGCCAUUCAUUUAAAGAGUGCGUAACAGCUCACUGGUCGAGGGUCCGGGCACGGAAAAUGAUCGGGCAUCAAACAUGGCGCCGAAGUUGUAAAUUGUACUUAGGUACUAUGGUAGGGGAGCAUUCCGGCCAGCGGUGAAGGUGUG